Clavulina sp. PMI_390 is the source of this 81-nucleotide non-coding RNA. Lineage: Eukaryota; Fungi; Basidiomycota; Agaricomycetes; Cantharellales; Hydnaceae. The record is from the annotation of a GenBank genome assembly.
GGCCUAAUGGUCUAGUAGUAUGAUACUCGCUUUGGGAAACCAACCUGCGAGUGGUCCUGGGUUCAAUUCCCAGUUGGGCCC